GGCGGCUUAGCACAGUGGCAGUGCAUCAGUCUUGUAAACUGAGGGUCGAGGGUUCAAUUCCCUCAGUCGCCU
Molecule: transfer RNA, 72 nt
Organism: Naegleria gruberi
Lineage: Eukaryota; Heterolobosea; Eutetramitea; Acrasida; Naegleriidae
Rfam family: tRNA
About the family: Transfer RNA (tRNA) molecules are approximately 80 nucleotides in length. Their secondary structure includes four short double-helical elements and three loops (D, anti-codon, and T loops).
Source: Rfam